UACGGAAGGCAGCAGGGGGAAUAUUGCACAAUGGGCGCAAGCCUGAUGCAGCCAUGCCGCGUGUAUGAAGAAGGCCUUCGGGUUGUAAAGUACUUUCAGUCGUGAGGAAGGUGUUAAGGUUAAUAACCUUAGCAAUUGACGUUAGCGACAGAAGAAGCACCGGCUAACUCCGUGCCAGCAGCCGCGGUAAUACGGAGGGUGCGAGCGUUAAUCGGAAUUACUGGGCGUAAAGGGCACGCAGGCGGUUAAUUAAGUUGGAUGUGAAAUCCCCGGGCUUAACCUGGGAAUGGCAUUCAAGACUGGUUAGCUAGAGUCUUGUAGAGGGGGUAGAAUUCCAUGUGUAGCGGUGAAAUGCGUAGAGAUGUGGAGGAAUACCGGUGGCGAAGGCGGCCCCUGGACAAAGACUGACGCUCAUGUGCGAAAGCGUGGGGAGCGAAAC
RNAcentral lists this ribosomal RNA (439 nucleotides) under uncultured bacterium. RNAcentral's name for it is "bacterial SSU rRNA". It matches the Rfam family "Bacterial small subunit ribosomal RNA", at positions 340 to 774 of the family's 1533-position model. The record is from RNAcentral.